Lachnoclostridium sp. An76 is the source of this 98-nucleotide regulatory RNA element. It matches the Rfam family "SAM riboswitch aptamer (S box leader)". From Rfam's summary of the family: The SAM riboswitch is found upstream of a number of genes which code for proteins involved in methionine or cysteine biosynthesis in Gram-positive bacteria. The SAM riboswitch acts at the level of transcription termination control. NCBI's taxonomy places the organism in Bacteria, Bacillati, Bacillota, Clostridia, Lachnospirales, Lachnospiraceae. The record is from Rfam.
CUCUUAUUCAGAGCGGUGGAGAUACAAAGGAUCUGUGAAGCCGCGGCAACCCCUUGUAAGGAAGGUGCCAACCUGAGCGAGUGAUCGAACAAUAAGAG